AGCAGCCGCGGUAAUUCCAGCUCCAAUAGCGUAUAUUAAAGUUGUUGCAGUUAAAAAGCUCGUAGUUGAACUUCAGGCCUGUCCAGAUGGUCCGCCUUAAUUGGUGUGUACUGUCCUUGGGUGGGUCCUACCUUCUGGCGAAGCGGCAUGGCCUUAAUUGGUUGUGUUGGGGAAGCAGGACUUUUACUGUGAAAAAAUUAGAGUGUUCAAAGCAGGCAUUAUAUGCUCGAAUACAUUAGCAUGGAAUAAUGGAAUAGGACGAUGGUUCUAUUUUGUUGGUUCUAGGACCGUUGUAAUGAUUAAUAGGGAUAGUUGGGGGCAUUAGUAUUCAAUUGUCAGAGGUGAAAUUCUUGGAUUUAUUGAAGACUAACUACUGCGAAAGCAUUUGCCAAGGAUGUUUUCAUUAAUCAAGAACGAAAGUUAGGGGAUCGAAGACGAUCAGAUACCGUCGUAGUCUUAACCAUAAACUAUGCCGACUAGGAAUCGGGCGAUGUUGACAAAAUGACUCGCUCGGCACCUCAUG
Molecule: ribosomal RNA, 523 nt
Filed under: uncultured Paraglomeraceae
Lineage: Eukaryota; Fungi; Glomeromycota; Glomeromycetes; Paraglomerales
Description: SSU rRNA
Rfam family: Eukaryotic small subunit ribosomal RNA
Source: RNAcentral